GGGUUGUGAGGUUAAGCGACUAAGCGUACACGGUGGAUGCCCUGGCAGUCAGAGGCGAUGAAGGGCGUGCUAAUCUGCGAUAAGCGCCGGUAAGGUGAUAUGAACCGUUAUAACCGGCGAUACCCGAAUGGGGAAACCCAGUGUGAUUCGUCACACUAUCAUUAACUGAAUCCAUAGGUUAAUGAGGCGAACCGGGGGAACUGAAACAUCUAAGUACCCCGAGGAAAAGAAAUCAACCGAGAUUCCCCCAGUAGCGGCGAGCGAACGGGGAGGAGCCCAGAGCCUGAAUCAGCAUGUGUGUUAGUGGAAGCGUCUGGAAAGGCGCGCGAUACAGGGUGACAGCCCCGUACACAAAAGCGCAUGUGUUGUGAGCUCGAUGAGUAGGGCGGGACACGUGGUAUCCUGUCUGAAUAUGGGGGGACCAUCCUCCAAGGCUAAAUACUCCUGACUGACCGAUAGUGAACCAGUACCGUGAGGGAAAGGCGAAAAGAACCCCGGCGAGGGGAGUGAAAAAGAACCUGAAACCGUGUACGUACAAGCAGUGGGAGCACCCUUUGGGGUGUGACUGCGUACCUUUUGUAUAAUGGGUCAGCGACUUAUAUUCUGUAGCAAGGUUAACCGAAUAGGGGAGCCGGAGGGAAACCGAGUCUUAAUUGGGCGUUAAGUUGCAGGGUAUAGACCCGAAACCCGGUGAUCUAGCCAUGGGCAGGUUGAAGGUUGGGUAACACUAACUGGAGGACCGAACCGACUAAUGUUGAAAAAUUAGCGGAUGACCUGUGGCUGGGGGUGAAAGGCCAAUCAAACCGGGAGAUAGCUGGUUCUCCCCGAAAGCUAUUUAGGUAGCGCCUCGUGAAUUCAUCUCCGGGGGUAGAGCACUGUUUCGGCUAGGGGGCCAUCCCGGCUUACCAACCCGAUGCAAACUGCGAAUACCGGAGAAUGUUAUCACGGGAGACACACGGCGGGUGCUAACGUCCGUCGUGAAGAGGGAAACAACCCAGACCGCCAGCUAAGGUCCCAAAGU
Molecule: ribosomal RNA, 1021 nt
Filed under: Salmonella enterica
Lineage: Bacteria; Pseudomonadati; Pseudomonadota; Gammaproteobacteria; Enterobacterales; Enterobacteriaceae
Also listed under: 1 other name
Description: partial 23S ribosomal RNA
Rfam family: Bacterial large subunit ribosomal RNA
Source: RNAcentral